RNAcentral lists this ribosomal RNA (492 nucleotides) under uncultured bacterium. Its description in RNAcentral is "partial 16S ribosomal RNA". It matches the Rfam family "Bacterial small subunit ribosomal RNA", at positions 28 to 507 of the family's 1533-position model. The record is from RNAcentral.
GAUGAACGCUAGCUACAGGCUUAACACAUGCAAGUCGAGGGGAAACGACAUCGAAAGCUUGCCUUUGAUGGGCGUCGACCGGCGCACGGGUGAGUAACGCGUAUCCAACCUGCCCAUCACUUGGGAAUAACCUUGCGAAAGUAAGACUAAUACCCAAUGACAUCCCACGAAGACAUCUGAAUGGGAUUAAAGAUUUAUCGGUGAUGGAUGGGGAUGCGUCUGAUUAGCUUGUUGGCGGGGUAACGGCCCACCAAGGCAACGAUCAGUAGGGGUUCUGAGAGGAAGGUCCCCCACAUGGGAACUGAGACACGGUCCAAACUCCUACGGGAGGCAGCAGUGAGGAAUAUUGGUCAAUGGGCGAGAGCCUGAACCAGCCAAGUAGCGUGCAGGAGGACGGCCCUAUGGGUUGUAAACUGCUUUUAUAAGGGAAUAAAGUGGGUCUCGUGAGACUUUUUGCAUGUACCUUAUGAAUAAGGACCGGCUAAUUCCGUG